RNAcentral lists this unclassified non-coding RNA (335 nucleotides) under Hevea brasiliensis (rubber tree). The record is from RNAcentral. Lineage: Eukaryota; Viridiplantae; Streptophyta; Magnoliopsida; Malpighiales; Euphorbiaceae.
GUGUCAAUGGAGAUGCUGUUCUUGAUUCGAAACAAGCCUCUUUUACUCGAUAUUUUAACACAAUUAUCUCUUACAUCAGUGAAGUUUACAGACUUUUCCUGUCAGUUAUUUGUAAAAGGAUUUGUUAAACUAUUCUUCAUUGUCAUGUUCCGAAUCAAGAACAGCAUCUCCAUUGACACCAGAAACAAGUUCUGCUUCAGAUGACUUUGAAGGCAACCUCUGAUACAUUCUGGAACUCAUAGGAAGCAGCCUACGCUGUCCAAUGGUGAGAGACUGGCUAAGCUUCUCAUAAUUCCAUCUCUGCUGAAUAUAGACUGCAACUGCCAGGAGAAUUG